This 690-nucleotide ribosomal RNA is filed under the name uncultured Candida. Its description in RNAcentral is "SSU rRNA". It matches the Rfam family "Eukaryotic small subunit ribosomal RNA", at positions 826 to 1536 of the family's 1831-position model. The record is from RNAcentral. Lineage: Eukaryota; Fungi; Ascomycota; Saccharomycetes; Saccharomycetales.
CGUUAUGGUUCUAUUUUGUUGGUUUCUAGGACCAUCGUAAUGAUUAAUAGGGACGGACGGGGGUAUCAGUAUUCAGUUGUCAGAGGUGAAAUUCUUGGAUUUACUGAAGACUAACUACUGCGAAAGCAUUUACCAAGCACGUUUUCAUUAAUCAAGAACGAAAGUUAGGGGAUCGAAGAUGAUCAGAUACCGUCGUAGUCUUAACCAUAAACUAUGCCGACUAGGGAUCGGGUGUUGUUCUUUUAUUGACGCACUCGGCACCUUACGAGAAAUCAAAGUCUUUGGGUUCUGGGGGGGAGUAUGGUCGCAAGGCUGAAACUUAAAGGAAUUGACGGAAGGGCACCACCAGGAGUGGAGCCUGCGGCUUAAUUUGACUCAACACGGGGAAACUCACCAGGUCCAGACACAAUAAGGAUUGACAGAUUGAGAGCUCUUUCUUGAUUUUGUGGGUGGUGGUGCAUGGCCGUUCUUAGUUGGUGGAGUGAUUUGUCUGCUUAAUUGCGAUAACGAACGAGACCUUAACCUACUAAAUAGUGCUGCUAGCUUUUGCUGGUAUAGUCACUUCUUAGAGGGACUAUCGAUUUCAAGUCGAUGGAAGUUUGAGGCAAUAACAGGUCUGUGAUGCCCUUAGACGUUCUGGGCCGCACGCGCGCUACACUGACGGAGCCAGCGAGUUUAUACCUUGGCCGA